Molecule: unclassified non-coding RNA, 379 nt
Filed under: uncultured Actinomycetes bacterium
Lineage: Bacteria; Bacillati; Actinomycetota; Actinomycetes
Description: uncultured actinobacterium contains 16S-23S intergenic spacer region
Source: RNAcentral
UCCCCGUUAUCCUGGGCAGUCCUUCCAGAGUUCCCGGCAUGACCCGUUGGCAACUGGAAGCAGGGGUUGCGCUCGUUGCGGGACUUAACCCAACACCUCACGGCACGAGCUGACGACAGCCGUGCAGCACCUGUGCACUGGCCCCGAAGGGCUGCCGUAUUUCUACGACAUUCCAGUGCAUGUCAAGCCUUGGUAAGGUUCUUCGCGUCGCGUCGAAUUAAACCACAUGCUCCGCUGCUUGUGCGGGUCCCCGUCAAUUCCUUUGAGUUUUAGCCUUGCGGCCGUACUCCCCAGGCGGGGAACUUAAUGCGUUAGCUGCGGCACCGACGACGUGGAAUGUCGCCAACACCUAGUUCCCACCGUUUACGGCGUGGACUAC